GACGAACCACACAAACGUUAUUCGGAAUUACUGGGCUUAAAGGGUGCGUAGGCUGCGCAGAAAGUUGGGUGUGAAAUCCCUCGGCUCAACCGAGGAACUGCGCCCAAUACUACUGUGCUCGAGGGAGACAGAGGUGAGCGGAACUUAGGGUGGAGCGGUGAAAUGCGUUGAUAUCCUAAGGAACACCCGUGGCGAAAGCGGCUCACUGGGUCUCUUCUGACGCUGAGGCACGAAAGCGUGGGGAGCGAACAGG
This 253-nucleotide ribosomal RNA is filed under the name uncultured bacterium. RNAcentral's name for it is "partial 16S ribosomal RNA". It matches the Rfam family "Bacterial small subunit ribosomal RNA", at positions 524 to 776 of the family's 1533-position model. The record is from RNAcentral.